AUUGAACGCUGGCGGCAUGCCUUACACAUGCAAGUCGAACGGCAGCACGGGAGCAAUCCUGGUGGCGAGUGGCGAACGGGUGAGUAAUAUAUCGGAACGUGCCCAGUCGUGGGGAUAACGUAGCGAAAGCUACGCUAAUACCGCAUACGAUCUAUGGAUGAAAGCGGGGGAUCGCAAGACCUCGCGCGAUUGGAGCGGCCGAUAUCAGAUUAGGUAGUUGGUGAGGUAAAGGCUCACCAAGCCGACGAUCUGUAGCUGGUCUGAGAGGACGACCAGCCACACUGGGACUGAGACACGGCCCAGACUCCUACGGGGGCAGCAGUGGGAAUUUUGGACAAUGGGCGCAAGCCUGAUCCAGCAAUAGCCGCGUAGCAGGAUGAAGG
Molecule: ribosomal RNA, 383 nt
Filed under: uncultured bacterium
Lineage: Bacteria
Description: bacterial SSU rRNA
Rfam family: Bacterial small subunit ribosomal RNA
Source: RNAcentral